UACGUAGGGCGCAAGCGUUGUCCGGAAUUAUUGGGCGUAAAGGGUGCGUAGGCGGUUUGGUAAGUCUUGUGUGAAAUCUCUGGGCUCAACUCAGAGUCUGCACGAGAAACUGCCGGGCUUGAGUGUGGGAGAGGUGAGUGGAAUUCCUGGUGUAGCGGUGAAAUGCGUAGAUAUCAGGAGGAACACCUGUGGCGAAAGCGGCUCACUGGACCAUAACUGACGCUGAUGCACGAAAGCUAGGGGAGCAAACAGG
This 253-nucleotide ribosomal RNA is filed under the name uncultured bacterium. RNAcentral describes it as "partial 16S ribosomal RNA". It matches the Rfam family "Bacterial small subunit ribosomal RNA", at positions 524 to 776 of the family's 1533-position model. The record is from RNAcentral.